AAACUUAGGAUAUGUUUAAACCC
Molecule: transfer RNA, 23 nt
Filed under: Chamaeleo chamaeleon (common chameleon)
Lineage: Eukaryota; Metazoa; Chordata; Lepidosauria; Squamata; Chamaeleonidae
Description: partial tRNA-Trp
Source: RNAcentral